AGUGGGGAAUCUUCCGCAAUGGACGAAAGUCUGACGGAGCAACGCCGCGUGAACGAUGACGGCCUUCGGGUUGUAAAGUUCUGUUAUACGGGACGAAUGGUACGACGGUCAAUACCCGUCGUAAGUGACGGUACCGUAAGAGAAAGCCACGGCUAACUACGUGCCAGCAGCCGCGGUAAUACGUAGGUGGCAAGCGUUGUCCGGAAUUAUUGGGCGUAAAGGGCGCGCAGGCGGCGUCGUAAGUCGGUCUUAAAAGUGCGGGGCUUAACCCCGUGAGGGGACCGAAACUGCGAUGCUAGAGUAUCGGAGAGGAAAGCGGAAUUCCUAGUGUAGCGGUGAAAUGCGUAGAUAUUAGGAGGAACACCAGUGGCGAAAGCGGCUUUCUGGACGACAACUGACGCUGAGGCGCGAAAGCCAGGGGAGCAAACGGGAUUAGAUACCCCGGUAGUCCUGGCCGUAAACGAUGGAUACUAGGUGUAGGAGGUAUCGACCCCUUCUGUGCCGGAGUUAACGCAAUAAGUAUCCCGCCUGGGGAGUACGGCCGCAAGGCUGAAACUCAAAGGAAUUGACGGGGGCCCGCACAAGCGGUGGAGUAUGUGGUUUAA
Molecule: ribosomal RNA, 605 nt
Filed under: uncultured bacterium
Lineage: Bacteria
Description: bacterial SSU rRNA
Rfam family: Bacterial small subunit ribosomal RNA
Source: RNAcentral